Molecule: ribosomal RNA, 305 nt
Filed under: uncultured bacterium
Lineage: Bacteria
Description: bacterial SSU rRNA
Rfam family: Bacterial small subunit ribosomal RNA
Source: RNAcentral
GCCUACGGGGGGCAGCAGUAGGGAAUCUUCCACAAUGGGCGAAAGCCUGAUGGAGCAGCGCCGCGUGGGUGAAGAAGGUCUUCGGAUCGUAAAACCCUGUUGUUAGAGAAGAAAGUGCGUGGGAGUAACUGUUCACGUUUCGACGGUAUCUAACCAGAAAGCCACGGCUAACUACGUGCCAGCAGCCGCGGUAAUACGUAGGUGGCAAGCGUUAUCCGGAUUUAUUGGGCGUAAAGGGAACGCAGGCGGUCUUUUAAGUCUGAUGUGAAAGCCUUCGGCUUAACCGGUGUAGUGCAUUGGAAACU